UACGAAGGGGGCUAGCGUUGCUCGGAAUCACUGGGCGUAAAGCGCACGUAGGCGGACUCUUAAGUCGGUGGUGAAGUCCUGGAGCUCAACUCCAGAACUGCCUUCGAUACUGAGAGUCUCGAGUCCGAGAGAGGUGAGUGGAACUGCGAGUGUAGAGGUGAAAUUCGUAGAUAUUCGCAAGAACACCAGUGGCGAAGGCGGCUCACUGGCUCGGUACUGACGCUGAGGUGCGAAAGCGUGGGGAGCAAACAGG
Molecule: ribosomal RNA, 253 nt
Filed under: uncultured bacterium
Lineage: Bacteria
Description: partial 16S ribosomal RNA
Rfam family: Bacterial small subunit ribosomal RNA
Source: RNAcentral